GGGGUGCUAGGGUCAACCAAGGUCUGUCUUAUUAGGAUGGGGUGCUAGGGGGGUCAACCAAGGUCUGCUUUAUUAGGAUGGGGGGCUAGGGGAGGUCAACCAAGGUCUGUCUUAUUAGGAUGGGGUGCCGGAGGGGGUCAACCAAGGCCUGUUUUAUUAGGAUGGUGUGCCGGAGGGGGUCAACCAAGGUCUGUUUUAUUUUGAUGGGGGCCAGGGUUGUGUCAACAAAGGUCUGUUUUAUUAGGAUGGGGUGCCGGGGGGGUCAACCAAGGUCUCUUUUUCUUCAUCCUCCCCUCUUUCAGCCCAGGAUAGAGAGGUAUGGUGGGGG
Molecule: long non-coding RNA, 328 nt
Organism: Oncorhynchus tshawytscha (Chinook salmon)
Lineage: Eukaryota; Metazoa; Chordata; Actinopteri; Salmoniformes; Salmonidae
Source: Ensembl